RNAcentral lists this ribosomal RNA (268 nucleotides) under Megalophaedusa hosayaka. RNAcentral's name for it is "partial 16S ribosomal RNA". Lineage: Eukaryota; Metazoa; Mollusca; Gastropoda; Stylommatophora; Clausiliidae. The record is from RNAcentral.
GAGCUGUCUCUUACUUUUAUUUUUAACUUAAUUAGAGAGUGAAAAUGCUCUUAGAAUAAACAAAAGACGAGAAGACCCUUAGAAUUAUAAUAAAAAGGAUUAACACAAAAAAUCACGAAAUUUUAGUUGGGGCAACUGAGGUAAUGUAUGGGGAACUACCUCUGUUUAUUAAGUAGCGACUUGCCGGAUGGUGUUAAGUAAGGAAUAAUUACCUAAGGGAUAACAGCAUAAUUUUAUUUUUUAGUUUGUGACCUCGAUGUUGGACUAG